AGAAGGAGGGAUGGGGACCCAGAGAGAGAAAAGAUUCCCGCCUUGUGCCAAAGCUAUAUAAGAAGGUGGAACAGAACAAAGGAGGUUUCACUCAUGAGAAAUCCCUAAUUAAAACCUGAACUGGAGCUAACAAGACCUGUACCAGGGAAAAGGAUUGGGCCCAGACUAGGAAGGAGUCCAGUCUGUGAAAGAAGCGUAUUAGAACAUCUCUGAGGGGGCUCCUGAGUGCUUGAGUGGAAAAGCCGCACCUGUGGAGAUGACGAGAGCGUUCCUGAGUCUAGGAGUAGACCAUCUCACUUUGACCUCAUAAGCAGAGAGCGGAAGGAAGGAAAGGUUUUCUCGUGAUAAGAGCAGGAGGGUGCACUACGGACUACUGAUGGGUCAAAACAGGAAACAUUUAGCUGAACCAUCCCAUCCUCUCUUUACGACAUCCCUCUCAAAUGUCCUUCAUUUUGAGCUCAGUUGUCACUUGGGAAACAAAUCUCAUAAAAAGAAACCGAGAUGUUGGAAGAAUCAUUGGGUACCCACACACGCCUCCCCAGUCCACUGAUGUUGCUACCCCCUGAGAGUACUGAGUCCAUCCCCAAAGAUGUUUUUUCAUCAGUGGCUGUGAGCGCCAUGAAGGAAAUGGUGGAAGGAGGGAGACGCUUUUGAAGCUACGUUGAGGCUGCCACAACAUUGGAGUGGCAUUGACCUGAAUCCAGGAAUCUUGCUCACUUCAUUAACUGGAUACUACAGAAUACUACAAUGGGAGUGUUGAAGCAACUGCUCUACUAGACCUCACUUGACUUUGCAUUACACAGCAGGUAUUUUCUGUGCCUGUAUAGCUUCCCCUAGAUCUCUGGUACUCUGCUAACAACUAUGGUAUUAUCUUUUCUCUUGGCCUCUGUGAAUAUAGCAAAGCGGUAGCACAUUAACGCAUAGUCAGACACCACAGGAAUAUUCUUAUGAACAGCAGCCUUGCCAAAUUAAGCACAUAGGCCUGACCCAAUUCCUAUGGACCAUCCAGUCCACUAUCUUACCUCUAACCGAGGCCAGUGCUAGAGGCUUAAGAGGAAGAUGCAAGAAACCUUGCAGUGGGCAGAUGUGGUGUAAUUAGCCCUCCUGCCCCUGAAGGUCUCAUUCUAAUCCCCAACAGUUAGAGAUUGGCUCAGACCCCACAACACAAGGUUUUACAUAAUUUAUAGUGUACAAAGAGUAACAUUACCAGAGCAUUAUUUAGGUUGCAAAGAGAAACAUUCGGAAGUUAGGGAAUACCAGGUUUACAGUUGUCCAUGCAGCCUUAAUUCUGGCCUCUUGUGUCUCCAUCCUGUGCACUGAAUAAGGCCGGGAACCUGUGGAAAAAUAGUAUGUCAUCAUGUACACUAAGACUGUACCGUAUUGCACACCAGCAAAGGGAAGCACAAGUAUUGAGGCCAAUUGGGAGCUAUGGACACUACAAAUGGCUCAGUCUUUGGCAGAGGGGAAGGAGGGGGAAACUGAUGUUAGCAGGAUAACCAAAGGCCCUUAGAGGCUGGAUGCCACGCCAGGUUAUACAAUGCUUUGUUGUUGUUAAUGCCCUCCUGAAAGGGCCUUUCUUUACGCUUUGUUUUUAAACAUUGUUUAAAACCUUUAGAACUUAAACUCCCAGCAAUAAAUACUUAGACAAAC
This is a long non-coding RNA of Trachemys scripta elegans, 1650 nucleotides long. RefSeq lists it as uncharacterized. NCBI's taxonomy places the organism in Eukaryota, Metazoa, Chordata, Testudines, Emydidae. The transcript is spliced from 4 exons. The record is from RefSeq and is a predicted model, not a curated record.